This 29-nucleotide non-coding RNA is filed under the name Mus musculus (house mouse). The record is from RNAcentral. Lineage: Eukaryota; Metazoa; Chordata; Mammalia; Rodentia; Muridae.
UGGCAGAUAUCCUACAACAAUUUCAAAGC